CGUACACUCCUACGGGAGGCAGCAGUAGGGAAUCUUCCACAAUGGGUGCAAACCUGAUGGAGCAAUGCCGCGUGAGUGAAGAAGGUCUUCGGAUCGUAAAGCUCUGUUGUUAGAGAAGAACACGUGCUAGGUAACUACUAGCGCCUUGACGGUAUCUAACCAGAAAGUCACGGCUAACUACGUGCCAGCAGCCGCGGUAAUACGUAGGUGACAAGCGUUGUCCGGAAUUAUUGGGCGUAAAGGGAGCGCAGGCGGUCUGUUUAGUCUAAUGUGAAAGCCCACGGCUUAACCGUGGAACGGCAUUGGAAACUGACAGACUUGAAUGUAGAAGAGGAAAAUGGAAUUCCAAGUGUAGCGGUGGAAUGCGUAGAUAUUUGGAGGAACACCAGUGGCGAAGGCGAUUUUCUGGUCUAACAUUGACGCUGAGGCUCGAAAGCGUGGGGAGCGAACAGGAUUAGAAACCCGAGUAGUCCCAUG
Molecule: ribosomal RNA, 477 nt
Filed under: uncultured organism
Description: partial 16S ribosomal RNA
Rfam family: Bacterial small subunit ribosomal RNA
Source: RNAcentral